GGGGGGGGGAGCGGGGAGGCGACCGCGCCGCGGCAGGGGCGCGCACGGACUCCGGCACGGGAAGAGCACCGCGCCGAGGUUUUCCAGCUCAGCCCGGACCACGUCCAGGCCUUCAGUUGACGCUGUGAUGCCGUGAUACCGCCCACACUAAAGUGGGCCUUCCCACCUCCACUAAAUCUUUCGGGAAACACCCUGGCAGACACACCUAGAAGCCUGUCUCCCAGGUGAUCCUCUAACUCCCAUCGAGCUGUCAACCACACGGCCUGAAGGAUUCUCUCAAUGAAGCUGGAGUCCACUGAUGAGCUUGGCUGGCCAGUGACCCCAGACAUCCGCCGUCCCCUCUGCCAGUGCUGAGUUCUGCCACGCCAGCACGCCUGGCGUCUCGCUGUGUGUGCUAAGGAUGUGAACUCAGGUCCUUACGCUUCUGCGUCAGGCGUUUUUACCGACUGUGCCAUCUUCUCGGCCUCUUUACCCACUUAGUCCUCUAACAGCACUCAAACCCAGUUGAAUCUUCUCAGUGUGCAGACUUGGCGUCUGUCCAAUGGCAGGCUGAAUAUCCGCAUUUGGAUACACGAACCGUGGCGUGUUGGCGUCAGCUUGUGCCAGCUCAUGCCAGCUCGGGAGAGCCCAUUGUCCGCCUCACCCCCUAACUGCUUCUUCAGUGAAUCGCUGUGGAUUGUAGGAACUGGAAGCCAGUCUCUGCUGGAGUAUUCACAUCAUGGGAAUCAACAAAUGCUUGUCGUCAGCCCCGCCCCCCUCCUUGAAGAGACACUCCGUAGAGGAGCUGGUGAGAUGGCUCCAUGUGUUUCUGUGCAGGGAGGAGGACUGCAGUUUGCAUGUCUAGCACCAUGUUUAAAAAAAAGCCAUGACGUUCAGUACACACCUACAGCCUCAGCACUGAGCAACAGGGACAGACAGGUCCUGAGGAUGUGCAGAAUAACCAGCCUAGCUAAAGCAGCAAGUCCAAGCCAAGUGAGAGGCUCUGUCUCCAAACCAAAGGAGGGGGAAUAGAGGAAGCCACCUAAUGUAGACCACAGAUUUGGAAUACACAUGCAUAGGUGAGCCCAGUGCAAGCACGCGCGCGCGCGCGCGCGCACACACACACACACACACACACACACACACACACACACACUACAUACUGCUGUUCAUAGACACCUAGACAUAUUCCCAACCACGAGAAUUUUUUUAGUGUCUUUGAGACAGCGUGGCUCAGGAUGACCUUGAACUUCUGCUCUUCUGACUCUGCAUUACAAAUUCCGGGACUGCAGGGGUGGGUGCGCCACCAGGUCAAGUUCUACGUGAUGCUGGGGAUCGAACUGAGGGGCUUUGUGUGUGCUAGGCAAGCAUCCUGUCAAUUGAGCGACUUUCCACGCCUUAAAUUUUGUUGUUUGUUUUUUUGAGACAGGGUUUCUCUGUGUAGCCCUGAAUGUCCUGCAACACACUAUGUAGACCAGGCUGGCCUUGAACUCACAGAGACCUGCCUGCCUGCCCCUGCCUCCUGAGUGUUAGGACUAAAGGUGUGUGCCACCACUGUACAGUUUAAAUUUUUUUUGACAUUUGAUCUCAACAAAGUAGUCUAGGUGGGCAUCAAACUAGAGCGGUAUUCCACAGAGCUGGAGAGACUGCUCAGCACUCAGAACUGCACUUGCUGCUCCUGCAGAAGACAGGAGUUUAUUCUCAACAUUCAUGUCAGGUGACUCACGACCUCCUGUAACUCCAGCCCUGGGGAUCCUGCACCCUGGCCUCCAUUAGCGCCCAAACUCACAUGCGCAGACAGAGACAUACAUAAAUAAUAAAAGUAAAUCUUAAGAAAAGAAAAAGUUAAGCCAGGUGUGGUGGCGCACGCCUUUAAUCCCACCACUCGGGAGGCAGAGCCAGGCACAUCUCUGAGUUCGAGGCCAG
Non-coding RNA from Peromyscus maniculatus bairdii (prairie deer mouse), 1905 nucleotides. The record is from RefSeq and is a predicted model, not a curated record. Lineage: Eukaryota; Metazoa; Chordata; Mammalia; Rodentia; Cricetidae.